Sander lucioperca (pikeperch) is the source of this 230-nucleotide long non-coding RNA. RefSeq lists it as uncharacterized. Lineage: Eukaryota; Metazoa; Chordata; Actinopteri; Perciformes; Percidae. The transcript is spliced from 3 exons. The record is from RefSeq and is a predicted model, not a curated record.
GAUAACCUGGCUAAUGUGGAAAGCAGUGAGCCUGAAGACAGAAAAUCAGAUAUGCAGGAAUGUCCUGUCUGCACAAAAAUGUUUCCUACUGACUUUAUUGAGGUACACGCUUCUUCAUGUGUGGAAAGGGCAGGAAAAGAGGUGAUGCAUGAAAGCAUUGUAAUUGAGGAAGAGCAAGCAGCAAUGCCUGGACCAUCCGGAAGUUGUGCAACUGCUACAGAUGGUAGGUG